This 366-nucleotide ribosomal RNA is filed under the name uncultured bacterium. Its description in RNAcentral is "bacterial SSU rRNA". It matches the Rfam family "Bacterial small subunit ribosomal RNA", at positions 29 to 429 of the family's 1533-position model. The record is from RNAcentral.
AACGAACGCUGGCGGCAGGCUUAACACAUGCAAGUCGAGCGCGUAGCAAUACGAGCGGCAGACGGGUGAGUAACGCGUGGGAAUCUACCCAACCCUACGGAAUAACACAUGGAAACGUGUGCUAAUACCGUAUACGCCCUUAGGGGAAGAUUAUCGGGGAUGGAUGAGCCCGCGUUGGAUUAGCUAGUUGGUGGGGUAAAGCCUACCAAGGCGACGAUCCAUAGCUGGUCUGAGAGGAUGAUCAGCCACAUUGGGACUGAGACACGGCCCAAACUCCUACGGGAGGCAGCAGUGGGAAUAUUGGACAAUGGGCGCAAGCCUGAUCCAGCCAUGCCNCGUGAGUGAUGAAGGUCUUAGGAUUGUAAA